UGGGGAAUAUUGGACAAUGGGGGCAACCCUGAUCCAGCAAUUCUGUGUGCACGAAGAAGGUUUUCGGAUUGUAAAGUGCUUUCAGCAGGGAAGAAAAAAAUGACGGUACCUGCAGAAGAAGCGACGGCUAAAUACGUGCCAGCAGCCGCGGUAAUACGUAUGUCGCAAGCGUUAUCCGGAAUUAUUGGGCAUAAAGGGCAUCUAGGCGGCCAGAUAAGUCUGGGGUGAAAACUUGCGGCUCAACCGCAAGCCUGCCCUGGAAACUAUGUGGCUAGAGUACUGGAGAGGUGGACGGAACUGCACGAGUAGAGGUGAAAUUCGUAGAUAUGUGCAGGAAUGCCGAUGAUGAAGAUAGUUCACUGGACGGUAACUGACGCUGAAGUGCGAAAGCUAGGGGAGCAAACAGGAUUAGAUACCCUGGUAGUCCUAGCUGUAAACGAUGAUUACUGGGUGUGGGCAUGAAGAGUGUCCGUGCCGAAGCUAAUGCGAUAAGUAAUCCGCCUGGGGAGUACGGCCGCAAGGCUG
RNAcentral lists this ribosomal RNA (525 nucleotides) under uncultured bacterium. Its description in RNAcentral is "bacterial SSU rRNA". It matches the Rfam family "Bacterial small subunit ribosomal RNA", at positions 355 to 896 of the family's 1533-position model. The record is from RNAcentral.